This 337-nucleotide unclassified non-coding RNA is filed under the name soil metagenome. RNAcentral's name for it is "partial contains 5.8S ribosomal RNA, internal transcribed spacer 2, and large subunit ribosomal RNA". The stretch from base 1 to 120 matches the Rfam family "5.8S ribosomal RNA", at positions 35 to 154 of the family's 154-position model. The record is from RNAcentral.
GAUGAAGAACGUAGCGAAAUGCGAUAAGUAGUGUGAAUUGCAGAAUUCAGUGAAUCAUCGAAUCUUUGAACGCACAUUGCGCCCCAUGGUAUUCCGUGGGGCAUGCCUGUUCGAGCGUCAUUUACCCCCUCAAGCUCCGCUUGGUGUUGGGCGUCUGUCCCGCUUCGCGCGCGGACUCGCCCCAAAGAUAUUGGCAGCGGUCGUGCCAGCUUCUCGCGCAGCACAUUGCGCUUCUCGAGGCACCGGUGGGCCCGCGUCCAUCAAGCUCACCCCCCCAGUUUGACCUCGGAUCAGGUAGGGAUACCCGCUGAACUUAAGCAUAUCAAUAAGCGGAGGA